GCAAGCAGGAGCGGGGUAGGGAUCUCUCAGCUGUGAAUAGAGGCUUCACGCUGUCUAUCAGAGCUUGUGUGCAAGCAGGAGGGGGCAGGGAUCUCUCAGUUAGGCAACAGGAAGCCUCCCUUCCCAGCUGAGGGAUUCCUGCCCCCUCCUGCUUGC
This is a non-coding RNA of Podarcis lilfordi (Lilford's wall lizard), 156 nucleotides long. Lineage: Eukaryota; Metazoa; Chordata; Lepidosauria; Squamata; Lacertidae. The record is from the annotation of a GenBank genome assembly.